AUGGCCCCACGCUUCUCAGAAACACCAGCAGCAGUGGGGCCCUGCAAACCAGCCACGCCUGGGGCUCUGCUGCUGCAUGACGCCAGCCCCAAAGCAGCCGCCUCCACGGGGAUCAAAGCUGCAGCCACUGGAAGGAAGGACCCUGGGCAAAGACCACGCGUUUGGUCACUUCAUGCAGCUCCCAAGUCCAGCACCUGCAAAUGUGGGUGCAGCAGACACUGCCUCUCCUUCAUCCUCUUUCUGGGCUGGAAAAGCAACAGAAUAUUGAGAAACAGUCAAUUCUCAGGCACUGCCCCUUCUCGAGUGUUUCACCUCCUGGGUUACCAGUACCCACUGCAAAUAGGUACAAAAUCAGAGCUCCACCUGCCCAGAGAUGUUAUUGACCAUCCUGCAGUUCCUGCAGCCACUCUGAGCACUUUGAGAAGCGCUGAAAGAAAUCUGCAAGCCCCCUGGGGAACCCUGCACAGAUGGGGAAAGCAGCUUGGCCACAGCCCUAUGGUCAGCAGCAAGCCCCAGGACAGAUGUGUCCUUCCCCAGCUGGGUCACGGGCUGCUCCCAACCUGCUCAUCCUGGGGUCUCUGCACCAGGGCAGCUUCCCCAGCUGCAGGAGCUCCCAGCACACAGGUCCCCAGCUCGUCCUUGGGGCUGAAGGCAGAGCAGGCAAACCCGUGGCACAUCGCCACCGAUUGGGGCUGUGCUGGAAAUCCCCUGCCAGCCCCAUGCGGAGAGCAGCUCCCUGCCUCUGCCAGGGGCAGGAGCAAAACCAGCUGGCAGCAGCCCCGCUCGCACAGCGCUCCCUCCCCAGGAGCCCUCGCAGCGCCUUCGCCGGCUGAGCAGGAGCUGGGAAACCUUUCCCCAGGGCCCCUGCGCCAUGCAAAUCCUCCUGACCUAUUGCUCAACCAGAUGCUGAAUUUACUCCAAAGCACUUGUGCAAUGUGGGCCUUCAGGGGAGCGGGGGAGGCAGCCGGGGGGAAGCACGGGGCUGCUCCACGGGGCUGCUUCUCGCUCCUUGUUGGCCGCUGCUGCAGCCAGGGGCUGAGCUCUGCCCCCUGCUCCAGGCGGUUUGCUCCAGGAGCAGCUGGGAUGGAGAAAGGAGAGAGAAAGUGCUCCUGCUGCCCUGAUGCAACUCCCCAAGGGGAAUAUUUUCACUUGCAAACCCUGGCCUUAAGGAGCGCAGGGAUGUUCAGGGCUCAGACCCCAAGGCGCAGUGAAAAAUGCGCAGCCGGAGGGGUGAGCGCUGGCAGGUACCUGCACAGGCAGCACCCCCAGCACCCAGCAGCCUCCCAGCCUUGCUUCCCUUCCCUCUCGCAGCACCCAGACCCUCCCCAGCUGGUUGCUGCAGGGCUGGGGGUUGCUUGCUGCAUUGCUUUCCCCUCCUGCCCUGGUGCUCUAAAUGCUUCCGUGCGACACCGCCUGCCCCGGAUGGGCAGCAUCAUCACACACGAGGGUGCAGCCCCUUUCCCACGGCCCAGGCUGGAGUCUUGGGUCAGAUUCCUUGCUUCUGAAGACGCCUUCAAAUGUUAA
RNAcentral lists this long non-coding RNA (1524 nucleotides) under Anas platyrhynchos platyrhynchos (common mallard). RNAcentral's name for it is "lncRNA (ENSAPLG00000024076.1)". Lineage: Eukaryota; Metazoa; Chordata; Aves; Anseriformes; Anatidae. The record is from RNAcentral.